AGCGAACGCUGGCGGCGUGCCUAAUACAUGCAAGUCGAGCGGACGAAUCGAAAGCUUGCUUUUGAUUCGUUAGCGGCGGACGGGUGAGUAACACGUGGGCAACCUGCCCUGUAGACGGGGAUAACACCGAGAAAUCGGUGCUAAUACCGGAUAACACGAAAUGUCGCAUGACGUUUCGUUGAAAGACGGCGCAAGCUGUCGCUACAGGAUGGGCCCGCAGCGCAUUAGCUAGUUGGUGAGGUAACGGCUCACCAAGGCGACGAUGCGUAGCCGACCUGAGAGGGUGCUCGGGCACACUGGGAGUGGAACCCGGGCCAGCUGCCUACGGGAGGCAGAAGUAGGGAAUCUUCCGCAGUGGACGAAAGUCUGACGGAGCAGCGCCGCGGGAGCGAAGAAGGCCUUCGGGUCGUAAAGCUCUGUUGUUAGGGAAGAACAAGUAACGCAGUAACUGGCGUUACCGUGACGGUACCUAACGAGAAAGCCACGGCUAACUACGUGCCAGCCGCCGCAGUAA
RNAcentral lists this ribosomal RNA (514 nucleotides) under uncultured bacterium. RNAcentral's name for it is "partial 16S ribosomal RNA". It matches the Rfam family "Bacterial small subunit ribosomal RNA", at positions 29 to 523 of the family's 1533-position model. The record is from RNAcentral.